UGGGGAAUAUUGCACAAUGGGCGCAAGCCUGAUGCAGCCAUGCCGCGUGUGUGAAGAAGGCCUUCGGGUUGUAAAGCACUUUCAGCGGGGAGGAAGGCGUUAAGGUUAAUAACCUUGGCGAUUGACGUUACCGACAGAAGAGGCACCGGCUAACUCCGUGCCAGCAGCCGCGGUAAUACGGAGGGUGCAAGCGUUAAUCGGAAUUACUGGGCGUAAAGCGCACGCAGGCGGUUGAUUGAGUCAGAUGUGAAAUCCCCGGGCUUAACCCGGGAAUUGCAUCUGAUACUGGUCAGCUAGAGUCUUGUAGAGGGGGGUAGAAUUCCAUGUGUAGCGGUGAAAUGCGUAGAGAUGUGGAGGAAUACCGGUGGCGAAGGCGGCCCCCUGGACAAAGACUGACGCUCAGGUGCGAAAGCGUGGGGAGCAAACAGG
This 429-nucleotide ribosomal RNA is filed under the name Chloroflexota bacterium. RNAcentral describes it as "Chloroflexi bacterium partial 16S ribosomal RNA". It matches the Rfam family "Bacterial small subunit ribosomal RNA", at positions 355 to 776 of the family's 1533-position model. Lineage: Bacteria; Bacillati; Chloroflexota. The record is from RNAcentral.